AGGAAUUGGCGGGGGAGCACCACAAGGGGUGAAGCCUGCGGUUCAAUUGGAGUCAACGCCGGAAAUCUUACCGGGGGCGACAGCAGAAUGAAGGUCAAGCUGAAGACUUUACCAGACAAGCUGAGAGGAGGUGCAUGGCCGUCGCCAGCUCGUGCCGUGAGGUGUCCUGUUAAGUCAGGUAACGAGCGAGACCCCCGCCUCUAGUUGCUACCGUUAUUCUCAGGAGUCGCGGAGCUAAUUAGAGGGACUGCCGUCGCUGAGACGGAGGAAGGAGGGGGCUACGGCAGGUCAGUAUGCCCCGAAACCCUCGGGCCACACGCGGGCUGCAAUGGUAAGGACAAUGAGUUUCAAUUCCGAAAGGAGGAGGCAAUCUCUAAACCUUACCACAGUUAUGAUUGAGGGCUGAAACUCGCCCUCAUGAAUAUGGAGUCCCUAGUAACCGCGUGUCACUAUCGCGCGGUGAAUACGUCCCUGCUCCUUGCACACACCGCCCGUC
This 496-nucleotide ribosomal RNA is filed under the name uncultured crenarchaeote. RNAcentral's name for it is "bacterial SSU rRNA". It matches the Rfam family "Archaeal small subunit ribosomal RNA", at positions 860 to 1354 of the family's 1478-position model. Lineage: Archaea; Thermoproteati; Thermoproteota. The record is from RNAcentral.